This 487-nucleotide ribosomal RNA is filed under the name uncultured bacterium. RNAcentral describes it as "partial 16S ribosomal RNA". It matches the Rfam family "Bacterial small subunit ribosomal RNA", at positions 28 to 506 of the family's 1533-position model. The record is from RNAcentral.
GAUGAACGCUAGCGGCAGGCUUAACACAUGCAAGUCGAGGGGCAGCAUAAUGGAUAGCAAUAUCUAUGGUGGCGACCGGCGCACGGGUGCGUAACGCGUAUGCAACCUACCUUUAACAGGGGGAUAACACUGAGAAAUUGGUACUAAUACUCCAUAAUAUCAUAGAAGGCAUCUUUUAUGGUUGAAAAUUCCGAUGGUUAGAGAUGGGCAUGCGUUGUAUUAGCUAGUUGGUGGGGUAACGGCUCACCAAGGCGACGAUACAUAGGGGGACUGAGAGGUUAACCCCCCACACUGGUACUGAGACACGGACCAGACUCCUACGGGAGGCAGCAGUGAGGAAUAUUGGUCAAUGGACGCAAGUCUGAACCAGCCAUGCCGCGUGCAGGAUGACGGCUCUAUGAGUUGUAAACUGCUUUUGUACGAGGGUAAACGCAGAUACGUGUAUCUGUCUGAAAGUAUCGUACGAAUAAGGAUCGGCUAACUCCGU